Molecule: long non-coding RNA, 382 nt
Filed under: Sorghum bicolor (sorghum)
Lineage: Eukaryota; Viridiplantae; Streptophyta; Magnoliopsida; Poales; Poaceae
Description: long non-coding RNA (SBIC_LNC012698)
Source: RNAcentral
CCAGCCCAAUACACGAGAGGGGGACUAUAUAAGAAUCAAUGAAGCUGUCACUAUCACGAACUACCCCACGAUCUGGCAUGUUGGGUACAAUCGCAGAUAAAUACGGUAUAAGCACCACGCCUACACAAUAUCUAUCAUUUACCCAUGGAUCCGAUGGAUAAACGCUAUACGAUCCUAAGCAUGUAUAUAGAUCGAAUCUAACUAAGCCAAGUACAUAACUGUGAUAAACUAAGAACAAUAUAAUCUUGAAUAUAAGCAAGUAGAGCAAAGUCAUAAGCAAUAUAUUGAAGUAGAACAAAGUCAUAUUCAUAAUAUUGAAGAACAAAGAUAAUUAGAAAGCAAUUAGAAGCACAAUUAGAGAAUUACCAAGAAUCCUCUUGAC